This 793-nucleotide ribosomal RNA is filed under the name uncultured archaeon. RNAcentral's name for it is "bacterial SSU rRNA". It matches the Rfam family "Archaeal small subunit ribosomal RNA", at positions 85 to 879 of the family's 1478-position model. The record is from RNAcentral.
ACGGCUCAGUAACACGUGGAUAACCUACCCAAGAGUCCGGGAUAACCCCGGGAAACUGGGGAUAAUACCGGAUAGGUCAAACUUGCUGGAAGGCUGUUUGGUUGAAACCUCCGGGGCUUUUGGAUGGGUCUGCGGCUGAUUAGGUUGUUGCCGGUGUAACGUACCGUCAAGCCUGUAAUCAGUACGGGUUGUGGGAGCAAGAGCCCGGAGAUGGAUUCUGAGACACGAAUCCAGGCCCUACGGGGCGCAGCAGGCGCGAAAACUCUACAAUGCAGGCAACUGCGAUAGGGGAACAUCGAGUGGCGUCCAUAUUGGAUGUCUGUCCUCCCGCCUAAAAAGCGGGAGUUAGCAAGGGCCGGGCAAGACCGGUGCCAGCCGCCGCGGUAAUACCGGCGGCUCGAGUGGUGGCCGAUAUUAUUGAGUCUAAAGGGUCCGUAGCCGGCUUUGCAAGUCUCUCGGGAAAUCCAGCGGCUUAACCGUUGGUCGUCCGGGGGGUACUACAUUGCUUGGGACUGGGAGAGGUAGGAGGUACUCAGGGGGUAGGAGUGAAAUCCUGUAAUCCUUUGGGGACCACCGGUGGCGAAGGCGUCCUACCAGAACAGGUCCGACGGUGAGGGACGAAAGCUAGGGGCACGAACCGGAUUAGAUACCCGGGUAGUCCUAGCCGUAAACGAUGCUCGCUAGGUGUCACAACAGUCGUGAACUGUUGUGGUGCCGUAGGGAAGCCGUGAAGCGAGCCACUUGGGAAGUACGACCGCAAGGUUGAAACUUAAAGGAAUUGGCGGGGGAGCAC